GACGAACGCUGGCGGCGUGCCUAAUACAUGCAAGUCGAACGCUUCUUUUUCCACCGGAGCUUGCUCCACCGGAAAAAGAGGAGUGGCGAACAGGUGAGUAACACGUGGGUAACCUGCCCAUCAGAAGGGGAUAACACUUGGGAACAGGUGCUAAUACCGUAUAACAAUCAAAACCGCAUGGUUCUGAUUUGAAAGGCGCUUUCGGGUGUCGCUGAUGGAUGGGCCCGCGGGGCAUUAGCUAGUUGGUGAGGUAACGGCUCACCAAGGCCACGAUGCAUAGCCGACCUGAGAGGGUGAUCGGCCACAUUGGGACUGAGACACGGCCCAAACUCCUACGGGAGGCAGCAGUAGGGAAUCUUCGGCAAUGGACGAAAGUCUGACCGAGCAACGCCGCGUGAGUGAAGAAGGUUUUCGGAUCGUAAAACUCUGUUGUUAGAGAAGAACAAGGAUGAGAGUAACUGUUCAUCCCUUGACGGUAUCUAACCAGAAAGCCACGGCUAACUACGUGCCAGCAGCCGCCGCGG
This 524-nucleotide ribosomal RNA is filed under the name uncultured bacterium. Its description in RNAcentral is "partial 16S ribosomal RNA". It matches the Rfam family "Bacterial small subunit ribosomal RNA", at positions 28 to 523 of the family's 1533-position model. The record is from RNAcentral.